This is a non-coding RNA of Oryctolagus cuniculus (rabbit), 1111 nucleotides long. NCBI's taxonomy places the organism in Eukaryota, Metazoa, Chordata, Mammalia, Lagomorpha, Leporidae. The record is from RefSeq and is a predicted model, not a curated record.
GGCACGGAGGGGGCUGCAGCAGGGCCAGCACUGCUUCCCCCCGGCCUGCAGGGGGCAGAGCCCUCCACGCCCCCCCCCUCGCCUAGCACCGAAUCUGGCUCUGUUCCUGGGCCGGGGAUUCCUGGCUGGUCAGCCUCCAGGGACCCAGGUUGGGAGACCCUCUGAGGCUGGGUGGUGGUGGUGGGGCGCCGAGCCUCCCCAGGGCACCUGCUGUCCCCGAGUGUCCUGCUUCGGAGGCCGCUGGAGUCGGGGCUGUUUUCCUGUGUUGCGACCUUGACCUUUGUGGCGAGGGCUGUACCACGCAGGGCCCCAGCCUCCAGAAAGCUGCUCCUGGGGCGGGGAGGGGGGUCCUCACACCUCCCCCUCGGGGCUCUGCGCCUGCAGUGGGCUCAGGUCAGGACGGCUCUGGCCUGCAGCCAGUGUGCUUGCGCCUGCCUCCCCUGGAGCCCCCUGCAGAGUGGCCUCCAGGCCUGUCUGCCCCCCGCCCCCACUCGCCAGGGAGUUUCUCACCUCCGGGCCCCGGGGUCGACUCAGCAGACGAGUUCCUUGGCCCCGGAGGCUGGGACCCCAGGUCAAGUGGUCCGCAGGCCACGCUCCCCGUGCAGGCGCCAGGGCGGGUCUGUCCACCCUCUCCUGCUUCACGGGCUCCCCGGGCCGCUCCGUGGCUGCAGCCGUGUGCCACGUGGCUGGCUCCCUGUGUGGUACUGGGGGCCUGCCUGUGUCCUCCUCGUCUGAAUUGAACCUGUUAGACCGGCAGUGGCCCAGUUUGCAGAGAAGCCGGGGGUCAGGGCCCUGACACGCCUUACUCUGGGCCCGGCGAGUUGACCCCUACAGUCUCUCUCUCCUCAGUGAGGAGUGCGGCUCCCACCCCACAGUCCCUGACGUUCUGUGGGAGUAACCCAGGGAGGAAGGGAGUGAGGUCUGAGUGUGAGUACUUAGUUACUCAGGGUAGGAGUGAGGUCUGACUGUGAGUACUUAGUUACUCAGGGCAGGGGUGAGGUCUGACUGUGAGGAGCUACUCAGGGCAGGGGUGAGGUCUGACUGUGAGUACUUAGUUACUCAGGGCAGGAGUGAGGUCUGACUGUGAGGAGCUACUCAGGGCAGGGGUGAG